Molecule: ribosomal RNA, 421 nt
Filed under: uncultured bacterium
Lineage: Bacteria
Description: bacterial SSU rRNA
Rfam family: Bacterial small subunit ribosomal RNA
Source: RNAcentral
UAAGGAAUAUUGGUCAAUGGACGCAAGUCUGAACCAGCCAUGCCGCGUGAAGGAUGAAGGUCCUCUGGAUUGUAAACUUCUUUUAUCUGGGACGAAAACGGGAUUUUUAUCUCAAUUGACGGUACCAGAGGAAUAAGCACCGGCUAACUCCGUGCCUGCAGCCGCGGUAAUACGUAGGGGGCAAGCGUUGUCCGGAUUUACUGGGUGUAAAGGGCGCGCAGGCGGGAUAAAAAGUCAGUGGUGAAAUCCUACAGCUUAACUGUAGAACUGCCUUUGAUACUUUUAUUCUUGAGUUCGGGAGAGAGAGACGGAAUUCCAGGUGUAGUGGUGAAAUACGUAGAUAUCUGGAAGAACACCAGUUACGAAGGCGGUCUCUUGGUCCGACACUGACGCUGAGGCGCGAAAGCGUGGGGAGCAAACA